Molecule: ribosomal RNA, 501 nt
Filed under: uncultured bacterium
Lineage: Bacteria
Description: partial 16S ribosomal RNA
Rfam family: Bacterial small subunit ribosomal RNA
Source: RNAcentral
AUUGAACGCUGGCGGCAGGCUUAACACAUGCAAGUCGAGCGGGGGAAGGUAGCUUGCUACCGGACCUAGCGGCGGACGGGUGAGUAAUGCUUAGGAAUCCGCCUAUUAGUGGGGGACAACAUCUCGAAAGGGAUGCUAAUACCGCAUACGUCCUACGGGAGAAAGCAGGGGAUCUCGGGACCUUGCGCUAAUAGAUGAGCCUAAGUCGGAUUAGCUAGUUGGUGGGGUAAAGGCCUACCAAGGCGACGAUCUGUAGCGGGUCUGAGAGGAUGAUCCGCCACACUGGGACUGAGACACGGCCCAGACUCCUACGGGAGGCAGCAGUGGGGAAUAUUGGACAAUGGGGGGAACCCUGAUCCAGCCAUGCCGCGUGUGUGAAGAAGGCCUUAUGGUUGUAAAGCACUUUAAGCGAGGAGGAGGCUACUUUAGUUAAUACUUAGAGAUAAUGGACGUUACUCGCAGAAUAAGCACCGGCUAACUCUGUGCCAGCAGCCGCCGUAA